AUGAACAUGUCAGAGCUUGAUUUUCUCGAAAUAUUGAAAAUGUUUAAUGCGUUUCUUGUAUUCAUAGAGAAUCCAAAUGUUUGCGAAGAAAUAAACACUGAAAAUGUUAUAAAAAUUUUUCAGUGUGCUCAAUUUAUUGAAAUUACAAUUGCUAAAGCAUAUGAAAUAGGCAAAGAAAAUGUACUUGAUAAUAAUCUUCACAAUCAUUGGUUGAAAGAAGGUAGAUCAAAUUUAUAUAAAUGUUCUGAAUUGAAAUAUGCCUGUGAUAAAUUAUUAGAAAUAUAUUUGAAAGAUACUAAUAUUUCAACUGAUAUUAUAGAUGAAUUUUUAAAAUUGUACAUUGAAUAUUGUGGCAAUGAUAGAUUCAAUAAUUUUCUUAAACAUAUAUUAAUUAAUGGAAUAUGUACAAAUAUAAUUAUAGAAUCUUUUGAAAAAUUGGACAUUUCUGCUUCAAAUAUACAAGAUGAAGCUUUAAUUAUGUCUUGGGAAUUUUUAAUUGGUAAUAGUAAUGAAUAUGAAGUUUUACAAUGUAUUCAUAAAAUGUUUGAUGAUGGUUUUUACUUAAAAUUAAUUCAAUUUGCUGGUAACUUAGAUAACAACAAUAAAAUUAAACAAAUAAUAGUUCAACUAUUAUCAAACAAGCUUAUUCAAAAUGAUGCAAAUCUUUGUUUAAUUUUUAUAAAUAUAAAACAAACAUUACUUUGGAAUUUUAUGCAAAAAAAUCCAGAGCUUUAUACAAAUUUUCUUGAUAGUAUAUUUUAUUUUGCACGUCAUAUGAAACAGAUUGAAAAUCAUUGGAUAUCGAACUACGAAUUUAAAUAUGAACAUCUUGUUAAAAUAGUAGAAAUAUUAUUAAAUGGUCCUACAGAAAUUUCAGACAUAAUAUACAACAGAAUGAAAUUAGUAAAAACACAUCCCAAUGGUAUAAUAUGGCAAAAAAUUGAAAAAGAUAUUGGAUGACUUAGUGUACCAGAUAAUACUCCGUUUACUGCUGUAUUAAAAUUUGCUGCAGAAGAAUUCAAAGUAUCUCCAUCAACAUCUGCAAUAAUCACAGAUGAUGGAAUAGGUAUCAAUCCGCAACAAACAGCAGGAAACGUUUUUCUUAAACAUGGAUCUGAAUUAAGAUUAAUUCCUAGAGAUCGAGUUGGAUAUGGUAGAUAAUUUGCACAA
RNAcentral lists this unclassified non-coding RNA (1170 nucleotides) under Apis dorsata (giant honeybee). Its description in RNAcentral is "ubiquitin-fold modifier 1, transcript variant X1". The record is from RNAcentral. Lineage: Eukaryota; Metazoa; Arthropoda; Insecta; Hymenoptera; Apidae.